This 253-nucleotide ribosomal RNA is filed under the name uncultured bacterium. RNAcentral's name for it is "partial 16S ribosomal RNA". It matches the Rfam family "Bacterial small subunit ribosomal RNA", at positions 524 to 776 of the family's 1533-position model. The record is from RNAcentral.
UACGAAGGGGGCUAGCGUUGUUCGGAAUUACUGGGCGUAAAGCGCACGUAGGCGGAUUGUUAAGUGAGGGGUGAAAUCCCGGGGCUCAACCCCGGAACUGCCUUUCAUACUGGCAAUCUCGAGUCCGAGAGAGGUGAGUGGAAUUCCGAGUGUAGAGGUGAAAUUCGUAGAUAUUCGGAGGAACACCAGUGGCGAAGGCGGCUCACUGGCUCGGUACUGACGCUGAGGUGCGAAAGCGUGGGGAGCAAACAGG